GAUGAACGCUGGCGGCGUGCUUAACACAUGCAAGUCGAACGAAGCACCUCUCCCGAAGAUUGACACAGCUUGCUGUAGAUUGAUUCAUUUGAGGUGACUGAGUGGCGGACGGGUGAGUAACGCGUGGGUAACCUGCCUCAUAGAGGGGGACAACAGUUGGAAACGACUGCUAAUACCGCAUAGUAAGAAGAAUUCGCAUGUUUUCUGCUUGAAAGAUUUAUCGCUAUGAGAUGGACCCGCGUCUGAUUAGCUAGUUGGUAAGGUAACGGCUUACCAAGGCGACGAUCAGUAGCCGGCUUGAGAGAGUGAGCGGCCACAUUGGGACUGAGACACGGCCCAGACUCCUACGGGAGGCAGCAGUGGGGAAUAUUGCCCAAUGGGGUAAGCCCUGAUGCCGCGACGCCGCGUGAGUGAAGAAGUAUUUCGGUAUGUAAAGCUCUAUCAGCAGGGAAGAUAAUGACGGUACCUGACUAAGAAGCCCCGGCUAACUACGUG
Molecule: ribosomal RNA, 495 nt
Filed under: uncultured bacterium
Lineage: Bacteria
Description: partial 16S ribosomal RNA
Rfam family: Bacterial small subunit ribosomal RNA
Source: RNAcentral